GGAAGGAAGCUCACUGUAGAGGUCAUGUGCCGAGUACAUUUGUUACUCUCUCACCUUGGGGAAGGUCUGAGACAAGAGCCGUUUCUGUCCUUGCAGGACAUCUUCCGAGCCGGGAGAGCGAGCUCCCAGACACUCGGUGCAUGGAGGGGUUUGCACAAGAUGCUAGUUAGUAGUUGGUGGCUUGAUACUGCCUUCCCUGGACUAGUUGAUGCCUAUUCAUCUGGGCAUUGGAAGUGGCUUGUGGCUAGCAUGGCACUGAGUCCAAUGGAUGAGGUGAGGCAACUGUGCCUCAUAACCCAAUUCAGACCACUCUCCGGAAUUCC
This 323-nucleotide RNase P RNA is filed under the name Ensatina eschscholtzii (common Ensatina). Its description in RNAcentral is "Nuclear RNase P". It matches the Rfam family "Nuclear RNase P". From Rfam's summary of the family: Ribonuclease P (RNase P) is a ubiquitous endoribonuclease, found in archaea, bacteria and eukarya as well as chloroplasts and mitochondria. Its best characterised activity is the generation of mature 5'-ends of tRNAs by cleaving the 5'-leader elements of precursor-tRNAs. Cellular RNase Ps are ribonucleoproteins. Lineage: Eukaryota; Metazoa; Chordata; Amphibia; Caudata; Plethodontidae. The record is from Rfam by way of RNAcentral.